CCCAGUCCAUCACAGAAGAACUGCAACCAGACGAAGCUGAAGACAUCGACGAUGACGACGAGCUCCCCGUCUUCAACAGACUCUUCUUCAUCUUCUUCCCCUCGAACCCGUUCAUCACAAACCCACACAGCUGCUGUGGCAUCAACCAAA
Molecule: long non-coding RNA, 150 nt
Organism: Telopea speciosissima
Lineage: Eukaryota; Viridiplantae; Streptophyta; Magnoliopsida; Proteales; Proteaceae
Exons: 3
Source: RefSeq, a predicted model, not a curated record